UGGGGAAUAUGCGCAAUGGGGGGAACCCUGACGCAGCCAUGCCGCGUGAAUGAAGAAGNCUUUAGGGUUGUAAAGUUNUUUCGGUAUUGAGGAAGGGUUGAUGUGUUAAUAGCACAUCAAAUUGACGUUAAAUACAGAAGAAGCACCGGCUAACUCCGUGCCAGCAGCCGCGGUAAUACGGAGGGUGCGAGCGUUAAUCGGAAUAACUGGGCGUAAAGGGCACGCAGGCGGUUAUUUAAGUGAGGUGUGAAAGCCCCGGGCUUAACCUGGGAAUUGCAUUUCAGACUGGGUAACUAGAGUACUUUAGGGAGGGGUAGAAUUCCACGUGUAGCGGUGAAAUGCGUAGAGAUGUGGAGGAAUACCGAAGGCGAAGGCAGCCCCUUGGGAAUGUACUGACGCUCAUGUGCGAAAGCGUGGGGAGCAAACAGGAUUAGAUACCCUGGUAGUCCACGCUGUAAACGCUGUCGAUUUGGGGGUUGGGGUUUAACUCUGGCGCCCGUAGCUAACGUGAUAAAUCGACCGCCUGGGGAGUACGGCCGCAAGGUUA
This 547-nucleotide ribosomal RNA is filed under the name uncultured bacterium. RNAcentral's name for it is "bacterial SSU rRNA". It matches the Rfam family "Bacterial small subunit ribosomal RNA", at positions 355 to 896 of the family's 1533-position model. The record is from RNAcentral.